AUAAUGUUAUCGAACUUUUAUUAUAUUUGUUUUGUUAAAAUACUACGUAUGGUUAUAAAAACAUAGUAAGUAUAAAUAUAUGUAUAUUUCUCAGAAAUCCUUUAAAAAACAGGUAACUUUUCAUGCAUUAUUAUUUUUAAACAUUUUAAUUAUAUGCCAAAUAAAUACAUUUUUAACCAACCUUAGCUUCAAUAACAUAUACACUAAAAAAUUUGUAUAUAAAACAUUUUGCCAUCUGACUUCAAAUUAGCAGGUCUGAACUGAGGAUAAUAUUAAAAUUGACAUUCCAGUUAAUCCAGGAAACAGAGGAGGCCUUAGGUAUUGCAUCAGGAGUUAGGAGAGUCAGAGUUAUAACAAAGAAGAUCGUGUGGCUCCUUUGAAGAAAAAGUGAGAAUAAGCAGCAAGAUUAAAGCCAUAAAAAACUAGAAUAAUGAUUGACUCAAUUUUGAUGAACUGAAAAGGCUAUGGAUAACAAGAGUUCCAGAACUUCCUUUUCUAUGAAGUCCUGUGCCUGCUCAUUGAAAAACAAUGAAUCAGUCUAGACUUGCAAGACGAAAUAAUUCCCUCAAAGCUGGACAUUUAUAUAUUAUUUAUGUAGCAUAUUUCAAUAUUGAUGGUAUAGCCUCAUAUACAGUUGAUUGUAAAACCAUUCUUUCUGUUAGAGUAGGUAGGCAGACAUGAGCAGGGCAGGAGAAGCCCACCCACACAUACCAGGAAUGUCAAGAGAGCAUCAGGUGAUGGUCAGGCAGCUGUUAAACUGCCUCUCUAACAUAAUAAUUGAUUCCAGCUGGUACCGGUGAAAGGCAGUCUCCCAACAGAUAGAAAACACCUGAAGCUGGUGAUCAGCAGCUUUAGAAAACACGGGAAGCUGGUGAUCAGCAGCUUCCAGAUAAGAUCUCAGCACUCUAAGAGACAAGAUGGUGGAAUUUAACUAGUAUAUGACCUUUCUUUAGGAACGCUCAACUGGUAUCCAGAUGCAGAAGUCUUACUUCCUGCUUUUCUAUGACAUCAUCCUUCAGAAGGCGGGGCAUAGGCAAGAACAUGAUAAAGCACUUCUCCUUCCUGCCAUCAUGUGAAGAAGGAUGUGUUUGCUUCCCCUUCUGCCAGGAUUGUACGUUUCCUGAAGCCUCCCCAGCCUGCAGAACGAUGUAAUGGAAGCAGCUUGAUGAGGCCGUGGGGAUAUCAGCAAGGACCAACUCUCUCUCUGCACAGUAAGAAGAUGGCACUUAAUGUUAUCCUUGAGAAAUGGAUGUUUUCCAGAAGAAACAAUAUGUGCAAAGACUCAGAAAAUUAAAACUUACAGCUAUUCAAGGACAGUGUGAUAGUAAAUGGCAGGAGAUAAGAUUAUAAAAAUUGGUUAGAGAUGAAUAUGAUGGCAGGUACUUUUGACAAUUUUAUUUUAUAACAUAUAGGUACAAAAGAAGAAUGUGAACAAAGAGAUCAACACAUUAGAUUUAAAUGAUGGGUAUAAGAAAUUGUCAUUCUGCUAAAAGGAAAGAGUGAAAAAUGAGCAACAUACAAGCAAUUGCAUAUUUCAAGUAAAUAUUCUAAGCUACUAGCUGUAGCAGUCAAGGACAAUUGAAUUUCUAAACCUCUAAAGAAUAGUAUGUCAUUUAAAAAGUUAGAAGGAGGUUGUUUGCAAAGGAUUUUUUUUUGUUUUGUUUUAUAUUAGUAAAAAGAGUAGGACUUAGGGAACAAAACUCUUAAAUAUCUUAAGUCCAAAUAAAACUAGAUUAAGUUAAAUCCAUAUUGUGCAGAAAUGCUAGAAAGAGUA
This 1774-nucleotide long non-coding RNA is filed under the name Homo sapiens (human). RNAcentral's name for it is "long non-coding RNA NONHSAT166051.1". The record is from RNAcentral. Lineage: Eukaryota; Metazoa; Chordata; Mammalia; Primates; Hominidae.